This is a long non-coding RNA of Panthera uncia (snow leopard), 2871 nucleotides long. RefSeq lists it as uncharacterized. NCBI's taxonomy places the organism in Eukaryota, Metazoa, Chordata, Mammalia, Carnivora, Felidae. The record is from RefSeq and is a predicted model, not a curated record. The transcript is spliced from 4 exons.
UGUGGACACAUCCGCCUCCGCACCCACCCCUUCCAGCCGGACUCUAAACUCCACCUCGUCUCAAAGAGCCGGUUCUUUGGUCCCCUCUCUGCUCCAUCUGUCAUUUUUUUCUGAGCCACCUCCUUGCCGUCAGCACCCGAGGAGAAGAACACAGUCCACCUACUACCACCGGUCCGCUACAGUGUUCUCACCAGGGACCUCAUUGCUGUUAAGGCCAGUGGAGUCCUCACCUUGCUGGACAGCAUCUGACCCUGCCCAGCAGUCCUCGACUUCUGGAAACAUCAUCUCGAUUUCGAUGACGACCAAGUCCUCUGAUUUUCUCCGACUUCUCUGGGUACAUCCUGUCAGUCCUUUUCAAGUCACCCAUUCCCUACGUGUUGGAGUCUUCGGGGGGCGCUAAGCUAUCUUCUCCGGUCACCGUACACACUCUCACUAGAUACCUCUCACCUUGGGAAGCCUGGUGUAAUCUUCUCAGACGACUUCUACACACUCCAUCAUCUCUAUGAACACGCAAUUCUGAGCUAUGUGCACGGCUGCCUGGAAUAGGGACCUCAUGUCCCCACCUGCUAGUGAUGAUGUCAUGUGGCGAAGCGUUGCCAGUAAGAUAUAAGAGGAAGUUGGGUACAACUUUAUCUGGAACCGUGAGAUCAGCCUGAGUUCAGAGGCCGCGCACAGCAGAGCAAUGAAUUGGGAAGGGCCUGGUCUGGACACCACGGAGCGCCUUCUGGCUGGACUCGAACAUUCUGCCCCGAUUUCUAGAUGAGCGGGAAAUAAAUCCUUAAUUUGGAAUUUUUUUUUUUUUGUCUCUCACAAUGAAAUCUAAUGAUAAUAUAUCGGGGUAUGCCCAUUUUUAACAUAAAAUGUAGCUACAGCUAGGAUUUUUUCAAUGUAUCUUCCUCGAACAAAAACCCAGGUAUCUGCUUUCAGAUGGAAGACGAGAUGUUACUAGAACUUCUUAAAAUGACUGCCGAUAAAUGACCUCCAGACCAUUCAGGAAAGAGCAUCAUCACGGAGAGAUGAAUGCGUUCCUUGUUUGUAUCCGAAGCUUUAUUUUUAUAAGCUAUAAUUUCUCAAUUUAUCAUCCUCGUCCUUAAUUGGGUGAGGACAGGAUGUUAUUUCUAGUAAUUACAGUAACUAUUAAACAAAACUGUCACGCCCUAAAUAAUUGAGAAUUGUCAAAUUCGAAAUGAGUGUUUUCCUAAUGUGUCAUCCCAAAUUAAUAGGCAUUUGUUGGGGAAAUCAGGGACAUAUUGGCUACAAUUCGACUUCUCCCUCGCGCUAUUUGCUUUUUGCCUUCAUUGUUAAGCAGUAAAACUGUUCCGUCACAACAGGCAAGCAACCUGUGCCUGGUGACACAGCAGGUGUGGGGCACAUGUUUGAACAAAAUGCCUUUUUAUUAAUUUAAUUAGCACCUGGCCUCACAGGCUGCUGAAGGAAGAGUGAGAAGCUUCCUUCCCGCACAGCAAACAUCUCUCAGGCUCUUACUCUCCGUCUUCUUUCAGGGUGAAGCCUCUUGUCGUGUAUUCCCGUUUUCACCUCUUAGCACUUUCUCCUGGGUUGCAAACAAAAAAAAAAAAAAAAAAAAAAGGAAAGAAAGAAAGAAAAUAUGAGCCUUUCUAGACUGUGACAAUUUAUCCAAGGAUUUUGUUUGCUUUGGUGAGAGAAGAUUUGAGAAUCCUAGAAAAAAUACUUUGUGCUAUGUGUUUUUUUUUUUAAUGUUUAUUUAUUCUUGAAAGAGAGAGAGAGUCAGAGCACGAGCAAGAGAAGGGCAGAGAAAGAGGGAGGCCCAGAAUCGGAAGCAGGUUCCAGGCUCCGAGCUGUCAGCACAGAGUCUGACACGGGGCUCGAACUCGUGAGCCGUGAGAUCAUGACCUGAGCUGAAGUCGGACACUCAACCGACUGAGCCACCCAGGUGCCCCUGUGCUAUGUGUUUAAAAUGCAAUCCUAGAAUGUGGGGUAGUGGAAGGCGCUACCGAACUCAUUUAGCCUCAGCAUCUUAAUCCGGAAAAGGAAACUGAGGCCCAGAGAAGUGAGACGUUUUGCCCACAGUUGUGGGAAAUUCUGAAUUGGAAAACAAAUCCCUGGGUUUCUAACCCAGGGAUCUUUCCACAAAUUGGGCAUAUUCUUUUAGUUUCAAGUCUUAAAAAUGUUGAGGAAUUGGGGCACCUGGGUGGCUCCGUCAAUUAAGCACCGACUUCGUCUCAGGUCACGAUCUCGCGGUUCGUGAGUUCAAGCCCCACGUCAGGCUCUGUGCUGACAGCACGGAGCCUGGAGCCUGCUUCGGAUUCUCUGUGUCCCUCUCUCUCUGCCCCUCCCCUGCUCACGCUCCAUCUCUCUCUGUCUCUCAAAAAUAAAUAAACGUUAAAACAAAUUUAAAAAAAAAAAAAACAGAAAGAAUCGGUUUCCAUCUUUCCACCUUGCUUUCUCCUGUGUUGGUUUCCUUCUCAGCCAGUCUCUCUGUGGUGACAAACAGGCUAUCACCUGCUCCUAACUUACAUCCUACUAACUUAGGGACGCCCAAGGAAUAGUUUCUGCACGCUGUUCCGGGCUUGUCUCCAUUCCUGGGGCAGGAACACGUGGUCCCACUACUUGAGCCACAUAAACUGAGCUGGGCACAGUGGGGGACACCCAGUGCUGUGCCGGUAAAUAUUUGGCAACCGGUUCUGGGGGCGGGGAAUAACGUCCUCAUUUGUAAAGCCUAGCAGUUUCCACGGUAGAUCUCAAGCUCUCCCCAGGUGGUCCCAGAGCACCGAGUUGGGACGAGAUGUGCAGGAACACCCAUGAGGUAAUAUUUCUACCGUACAGACAAAUAAACGUAAAUAACCUGGAGAUCAAUGACAAUAAAAUGCAGUUAAUUAGUACCUUACGAGU